RNAcentral lists this ribosomal RNA (250 nucleotides) under uncultured bacterium. RNAcentral describes it as "partial 16S ribosomal RNA". It matches the Rfam family "Bacterial small subunit ribosomal RNA", at positions 524 to 773 of the family's 1533-position model. The record is from RNAcentral.
UACGGAGGGUGCAAGCGUUACUCGGAAUCACUGGGCGUAAAGGACGCGUAGGCGGGAUGGUAAGUCUGAUGUGAAAUCCUACAGCUUAACUGUAGAACUGCAUUGGAAACUACUAACCUAGAGUAUGGGAGGGGGAGAUGGAAUUAGUGGUGUAGGGGUAAAAUCCGUAGAUAUCACUAGGAAUACCUAAAGCGAAGGCGAUCUCCUGGAACAAUACUGACGCUAAGGCGUGAAAGCGUGGGGAGCAAAC